ACUCAUUCAACAGCCUCACACCUCCUCUCUAUAUUCUCUCUCUCCUUUAUUUCAUCAGCCUCACACCCCUCUGUACUCUCUCUCUCUCNNNNNNNNNNNNNNNNNNNNACCUCCUCUCUCUCUCUCUCUCUCUCUCUCUCUCUCUCUCUCUCUCUCGCUUCUUCUUCUUCUUCUUCUUCCCUUCUCUCUCACGCUCUUCUCCUCCAUUUCAGAUCUCUAGGGUUUCGACCUAGAUUGCUAAACCGCAGCAGCAUUUUCAGCUCCUGAGUCGCCGGCGAGUUUACCGAGUCGUGAUGGCGGGGAAGAACGACUCGGUGUCCAUUCGGAUGUGGAAGUUGAGAAGACGGGGAUGGAUGAUGAGGCUCAUCAUCGGAUCGACCUCAAUUCGUCUGCGCUGUCAUCGUCGUCUUCGAAACAAUGAAAGCCGACGUGGAGGGUGAGGAGGUAGAGGCAAUGGUCGGUGGAGUCAUAGGGGCGAAGGCCGUAGAAGGGGAGGUGCUCCUCGGCGACGAGGCUGAUGAAGAUGGAGUCGGGAGGGAAGGUGGAGGCGCGCCGAGGAGAGGAGGCUUGGUGUUAGUGGAUUUGGAGCUGAGGAGCUCGGUGAGCCACUUGGAGGCAACGCCGUCGUGGUCGAUGAGGACGGUCAGGAUGCGCUUGGAGUCCACGUGGACGGUGAAGAGGUUGGGGACGUUGGCGGGGUAGGCGCGGAUGACCUCCGGCUGAUCGAUCUCCUCGAUUGAAACGUCGAGCACCAUUUUUGGGUCUGUGCGAGAAAAGUUUGAUUUUGCAGAGAGAGGAGACGAGAGAGUACAGUAGUACUGGUGUGGGUGUGGGAAUGGCGUGAACUCUUGUUAUGAAAUCCCUCAAAACUUGGGCAGGUGAAUAGCUUUGACUAGUUUUUUUCUCUAUUUUUAUGAGAUGAGAAUUUGAGAAAAGAGGAAGUGUGAAUAGGAAUGUUGACGAUGUUUAUUGGUCUAGUUGCUUUGUUUUCUGGGUCCUUUCGAACUUAAAAAGGUAUGUUUAAAAUGAUUAUUGACUGGCAGUAACUGAUUAUUGGGGGUUAAUAACUGAUUAUGUUCUGAUAUUUUUUCUUUUUCUGGUAUUAUUAAGCUGAAAUAAGUUGAUUAUUGGGGUUAGUAACACGAUUAUUAGGGGUCAGUAAUUGGUUACUGGGGGUCAGUAACUGGUUAUAGAGGGUCAGUAAAUGAUUACUAGGUGUCAGUAACUAGUUAUUGAGGGUCAAUAAUUGGUUAUUAGGGGUCAUUAACUGGUUAGUAACAUGCUAUUGAUGGUCAGUAACUAGUUACAGGGGAAAUUCCGGUGACCGGAGUCUGGCGGUCGGGGAAAUUCCGUUGACUGGAGUCCGACGGCCGGUAACCAGAGUCCGGUGAGAUUCCGGCAAAGUAUUCUCUUUUUCAUUUUCUCUCUCUAUGCAUGUUUAAGUGGUGAGGACAAAAUAGUCUUAAAAUAAUAUGGUUUGUUAAGACUUUAGUCAAGAUUUGUGCAUUUGGGCAUAAAGAUUUAUGCAUUUGGACAUAAAAAAUGUUACUUUAUAUUGAAAUGGGCUAAUGAAAAAGAUUGUCAUUGAAAUGGGGAAAUGAGGGGUUUAAAUUAAUACUAAAUGGAAAUUUUUCUUUUAUUAAAUUGAUUAUGUGUCUAUGUGACAUGACAUACCAUAUAAGAUUAAGGCCAUAAAUCUUAGACCUUCUUAAGGCCCUCUAGCACUAGCCAAAAACAAAUUUAUUGAAGAAUAUAGGUUUUAUGAGGUUCACAUAAGCCGUUUGAAACAUGUCUCCUCAACCAUUAAAAGUUUUUCAACACCUUUAAAAGUAACACUAUGGGUUACCAAAACCACACUAACCAGAAGCUAGAAUUUUGAACUCGAUUUUCAACUUUCAAGUGGAUCCUAUAAUUUCCAAAUACCCUAAUUAUUAAUUAAGGCAUCUAUUGAUAUAUUGGUCAAUCCUAUUCAAACACAAGAAAUCCUUGUGGAUCUAGGAAAGGAAGGAAAGGCAUCAAGAAGGAUACCUCAGCAGAACUGCUUGAAGUUAUGCAUGAUUAGCGGCUGUGAAAAGGUAAACACAGAGUCAACUGCUUGAUUAUGUACAAAGGUAACUGAUCUUUAUCUUAAUUUGAUUAGUUAUAACUUGAUUGAGGAAUACAUGGCUGUUUACAUUCAAGGUUAUAAUCUUUAUGAUAAAUGGUGUUUAUUGCUUGAUUUGGUAAUCAAUUGAUAUCUGAGUGUUAAUAACAGUGCUUAAUCAUAGAGAAAGAUAUGAUUAAGGUACAUGAUUGCUAAGUGCAAGAGUUAUGGAAAAAAUAGUUCUCUGAUUAUGUUUUUCCAAAUCGAUUCUUUGAUGAGCAUUGUUUGAGGGGGAGCAUUUCAUGCUCUAUAAGUAACAUCUGACAUGCUAUGCAAUAUGCACCUUUUUGUAGAUAUUGUUUAGACUUUGAUAUCUUAGUCUCUAAGUUGGAUUGUAUAUCAAUCAAUCUGCAAAUUGUGUGUGUGUGAUCAUAUGAUCUAAAAAGUUUCUCUCUUACUUGCAUUCAGGUUGCACUUAAGUUUGGUGAAGCUGAAGAGUGAACCAAGUGUGAAUUGCUGGUUGUGUUGAGAACCUGUUCGAUAGCUAUGAGAGGAGUGCAUCACUAGAUUGUGUGAAAGAAUCUAAGUUACUUAUACUGAUGUUUGUGUUAUAUCAGUAGGAGAAGUUCUCAGUUGUUUUUGUGUAGAACAAAUUGAUUAACUGAUCAUGAGUGUGUAGAUAGAAAUGAGUGAAUACUAGAAUGACUAGUUCCUUGUGUAGUUGUGUUGGAGAACUACCUAUCUUUGUAAACUCAAAUUAAAGAUUAGUGAGAUAAUCUUGUCUGUUGUUUUUUUCCUCCUUGAGGUUUUUCAACAGAUUUUUGAUAAUCCUCUUGUUGUCUGCAUUAUCAGUUUUUACAGCAUUUCUAUAUCUUUAGCAUCAUUUUCAUGAGAAGCAGCUGGAUUUAGGAAUAUUGAUGAAUGAGUCCUAUGAGCCAGUCUCCUGAGCAGUUCUGGACAAAUAAACAUGAUCGGCAUGUAUAAUAUAUUUUACACAGGCAUCACAUGACAGAGACAGAGUUGUGAUAUAUCGUUAUACACACAUAUAUACAGCCACAGGUGCGAUGAUGACAUAUAUAUUUAUUCGCAAUAUCUGAUCCAUUAUAUAUUUUUGUCUUUAAAACGCCCGUCAAGUGCAUGGCACGUACUAACAACACAAGUCCAG
RNAcentral lists this long non-coding RNA (3248 nucleotides) under Fragaria vesca (wild strawberry). RNAcentral's name for it is "long non-coding RNA (FVES_LNC001767)". The record is from RNAcentral. Lineage: Eukaryota; Viridiplantae; Streptophyta; Magnoliopsida; Rosales; Rosaceae.